This 572-nucleotide long non-coding RNA is filed under the name Homo sapiens (human). RNAcentral describes it as "novel transcript". The record is from RNAcentral. Lineage: Eukaryota; Metazoa; Chordata; Mammalia; Primates; Hominidae.
GAAAUAUUCAGUCUGUUUCAUCAUUGUGAAAUAAUAGAAUUAUUUUAACCUCCCUUUUGUUUGCCUAUUAUGGGAAUUAAACCAAGAUCCCCAUCGAUGGAGAAUGCUGACCACUGUCAGGUAGACCUCAGGCAAAAAGAAACUGAAGACUGAACUCAGGCUGUUUUAAAUUUCUUCCCAAGGAGCCUGGAGACAGUCACACCUGCAGGCGACCAAUCUUGCUAGACUCGUCACACUGACCCAGUCUGUUGUGACUUGCUCUCAUGACUUGACUCUGGCAUAGCACCACUUGAUGAUUAAUAGUUUUCCUUAUCUUAACAAAUAAAUGUUAACACCAAGCCUUAACAUACCUUUCUGCUGACCCCAAGGUUUUAGACAAAGGCUUGUUCCCUUAGCCAGUUGCAAAUCAGAGAAUCUCUAAAUCCACCUGGGACCUGUUAGCCCCUGCUUCAAGAUAUCCUCCCUUUGCAGAACAAGUCAAUGUAUAACCUCCACGUAUUGAUUUAUGAGUUUGCCUAUUACUUCUGUUUUCCUGAAAUGUACCCCUGUCUUUAAAAACGCUUGUAAGCCAC